AAGAAGUUCUUCACUUGUUGUUGUUAAUUAUUGGCAAACAAUAAAUGCAUUUAUUUAAGUUUUUCUUUUUUUUUUUUGAAUGACAUUAAUCUUAAUUAGGUUUCUGAGUGUUCAACUCUGUAGCAAAUGAAAACAACACGUUAUAAAUUGCAUGCAUCCGGGGCACGUUUCUGGAUUUAUAUUCAACAGCAUCCGGGGCUCUAGAUCCGGG
RNAcentral lists this long non-coding RNA (211 nucleotides) under Mytilus galloprovincialis (Mediterranean mussel). Lineage: Eukaryota; Metazoa; Mollusca; Bivalvia; Mytilida; Mytilidae. The record is from RNAcentral.